Hydractinia symbiolongicarpus is the source of this 650-nucleotide long non-coding RNA. RefSeq lists it as uncharacterized. The transcript has 2 exons. Lineage: Eukaryota; Metazoa; Cnidaria; Hydrozoa; Anthoathecata; Hydractiniidae. The record is from RefSeq and is a predicted model, not a curated record.
UAUUACAGUCAGAGUGCAACUAUGGAUAACUUCCCAUUGCUACUUGCAAUAACGUUAUAAAAAAUAUUAAAAGAAAAAAGCCUCGUAAAAAAACACAGUUUGGGUUAAGGAAUGCUUAAGAAGACUAAAGUAGCGCUUAUUAUGGCUUAAUUGCUCAGAGAUUUUUGAAGGUUUUCGACGUUAUUUAAGAAUGAAUACUGCAGCUUUUGAGAAACUUGUGAAAUUGGUUGGACCGAAGUUGGUCAAGCAAACAACAAUGAAAACACCGAUUCCCCUGAAGAAAGAUUAGCUAUUACUUUUCGUUUCUCGACUACUAGCGAGUCGCAUGAAAGCCUAAUGUAUCAAAUUUUGAAUCCAUAAACAGUUCAUACCUGAACUGUUUAUGGAUUCACAGUUCAUACUUGUUGUUUGUACAGAGAUAUAUAAUAAAUUGAGAGAAAUCUACUUAAAGUUCCCAGUACCAGGAAGGAGUGGGAAGAGUACGAACUUGAAACAAGGUGACGCUGGUGGUUUCCAAAUUACUUUGAUGCAGCUGACGGCGAACAUGUUGCUAUUAUUCAUCCAGCUGACAGUGGAUCAGAUUUUUUUAACUACAAAGGUUUUUAUUGCUAUAGUGUUAUUGUUAUUUUUAAACAAAACGCUGUGUUUAC